Molecule: long non-coding RNA, 1250 nt
Filed under: Anas platyrhynchos platyrhynchos (common mallard)
Lineage: Eukaryota; Metazoa; Chordata; Aves; Anseriformes; Anatidae
Description: lncRNA (ENSAPLG00000025543.1)
Source: RNAcentral
UUCCCAUUACCAGAAUAUGACCAGGGUGAGACUGUGAAAUACAAAUGUGCAAGUUUCUACAUCCUGGAAGGACCUGAGCAAAUCACCUGCAUUGAUGGGCAGUGGACAAAUCCCCCAGUUUGCUUGGGUAGGUGGAAGCUGGUGCUGCGUGGCCCAGAGCUGUGUGAGCUGCUCGUUGUCUUUCUCUCAGGCCCUGCGUGCGCUGCACUUGUGAAGCAGCGCUUGUGUUGGGGCUGCGAUGCUGACAGGGCAGAAGAGCAGCUGGUGCUUCUCCUGUGCAGAAGGAAUUUCCUCUGGAGGUCAGCUCGUGUACCUGCCUCUUCUGCCUGCUGUCCCUCCCUGCCCCCAGACACCAGCAGAUCCAGGAGGGUGGUUUGGUCUGAGUGCAAGGAAAUCCAGGGCCACGGGGGAAUGAAUUUGAGAAGCGCUGGGACGAGGGCAAGGAGAGGGCCCAAAAAAGACACAGGGGAGGUCAUUCCUGCCUUCUGGGUGCCCCUGCCCCAGGCUGUGCUUCCCCCUUGCCCUGUGAGACUGUCAGAGGGCAAAGGCUUCUCCACAACAGUGUGUAGUGACUCAGCCAUCAUUGUUUUUCCCUUUUGCCUUCUUAAGAAUGUCUUUCCUGUUGGAAAACUCAGAGGCGGCUUGUACGGCCUCUGAAGAAGAUAUGGACAGAAACAAUAUUGAGCUGAGAUGGAGAGAAGAAAGAAAACUGUACUCAACAUCAGGCGAUUUUAUUGAAUUUGAUUGUAAAAUAGGACAUGUGCAGGACCCAGCAUCUUCCCGCUUCAGAGUGCAGUGCAUGGACGGGACAUUAGAAUACCCACGGUGCAAGCCAGGAAGUAAGUCACCUCCACUCUGUCACUGCUUGGCCGCUGCCUUGGUGCAUUUUUAGCGCAGAAGCUGGGAAGAAAACCCCUAGCAAGUGUGCCUGGGGAAGAAAUAGCGGGGCUCCAAGGUGGGAGAGCACCCUGCAAAGCUGCAGGCCAUGAGGGGUGGUUCCCCCAGGAAGCCGCCGACUGGCGAACCUGAGCUGGAAAGGCUCCUGGGGAACGCGCUCGCUGGGGCUCAUCAGGGUUACUGGUGCUGGGCCUGCCCGGCUGGUUCCAGGCAGGAUGGAAGGGCUGGUAAGUUCCCUGCAAGUGGCUUCUCUGAAAUCAGAAGGUGCCAUGGACUGUGGCAGGGCUGAAGGGAGGGAGACCAUUUCCUUGCAGGCUCUCCCAAGCCUGCCUGUUCAGGCAGGGCUUUGUCCC